GGCAUUCCUUUAGUACGGCGAGUGAACCGGGAAAAGCUCAAAUUUGUAAUCUGGCUGUCUUCGAUAGUCCGAGUUGUAAUCUAUAGACGUGUUUUCCGUGCUGGAUCGUAUCUAAGUCCCUUGGAACAGGGUAUCAAAGAGGGUGACAAUCCCGUGCUUGAUACGACGACCAGUGCUCUGUGAUACACGUUCUACGAGUCGAGUUGUUUGGGAAUGCAGCUCAAAAUGGGUGGUAAAUUCCAUCUAAAGCUAAAUAUUGGCGAGAGACCGAUAGCGAACAAGUACCGUGAGGGAAAGAUGAAAAGCACUUUGGAAAGAGAGUUAAACAGUACGUGAAAUUGUUGAAAGGGAAACGAUUGAAGUCAGUCGUGUUCUUCAGAUUCAGCUGGUUCUUCCAGUCUACUUCUGUUGAACGGGUCAACAUCAGUUUUGUCCGGUGGAUAAAGGUAGUAGGAAUGUGACUCCCCCGGGAGUGUUAUAGCCUAUUAUUGCAUACACUGGGUGAGACUGAGGACUGCAGCUCGCCUUUUGGCCGGUCUUCGGACACGUUCGAGCUUAGGAUGUUGACAUAAUGGCUUUAAACGACCCGUCUUGAAA
This 597-nucleotide ribosomal RNA is filed under the name Cutaneotrichosporon jirovecii. RNAcentral describes it as "eukaryotic LSU rRNA". It matches the Rfam family "Eukaryotic large subunit ribosomal RNA", at positions 71 to 659 of the family's 3401-position model. Lineage: Eukaryota; Fungi; Basidiomycota; Tremellomycetes; Trichosporonales; Trichosporonaceae. The record is from RNAcentral.